Molecule: long non-coding RNA, 3005 nt
Filed under: Homo sapiens (human)
Lineage: Eukaryota; Metazoa; Chordata; Mammalia; Primates; Hominidae
Description: HSALNT0124562
Source: RNAcentral
CGCUUGCGGAUGGGCCGAGAUGGUGCCCCUGCCGAGGGGGCUGGCUGGGUGCCCCACUCCCCCAGCAUGAGGUUCUGUUGGGGGCUGGGCCCGACUUGGACAUGGCCUCCAGGCCCCCAGCCCUGUGGGAGCAGGGGUGUGGCCAGCUCAGCAGAGGCGGCCCAGAGAGAUCGUGAGUCCACUGGGGGCAGCGCCCCUCCUGCCCAGCGCUACCUUGGUGGAGAGUGAUGGGGUCUGACCACUUGGUCUCAGCCCUGGGUGAGCCCCUGGUGUCCAUCAGGAGGAACUUCACCCUGGGGAUGGGAGGUGGUGGGGGAGGAGGGGAGAGCUUCAGAGGCUGGGACCACCCUGGGCAGGGCCAAGCCCCAGGCAGCUCCUCUGGGGCCCUCCCAUGGAUGUGGAGUGGGGGUGCCCGUCAAGAGCAGCAGCCCAUGGCCUGGCCCUGCUCUGAGAAUCCCCUGAGAUGUCUCCAGCCACUUGGCCUGUGCCACCACCCCUCAUCCCCCCGAGCAAUUGCUCUCCAGACACCAGACCUGGGCCGGGGAUGCUGGUUUAGGGGCCCUGGUUCCUAAAUGUCACAAGCCAAAAGAGCAGGUGAAGGUGGCUUAGCAGGGCACAUGGGGCAGGGGUCACAGGCCUCCCAGAGGGGCAGCAGUAGCCGGGGGCAGGGGGCUCAAUCACCAGCAGCCUGAGGACCCAGGGCACCAGGAGCCCCGCAGAGGGCCUCGGUUUGUCUCUUUGCAGGGCUGGGAGCUCUGCAAGGCCUGGGAAGCGGGGAAGGACCUGGCAGGUUGGCAUUGAAAAGAGUGGCUGCGGGGGAUGGGGCGGGGCAUGGAGCUGGAAGGCUGAGCCAGGGUGAGGCAGCGGGGAGGGCAGAGGGUGGACCUGGAGAGUGGGUGAGAGGGCAGAAGGGGGCUGGGCGGAGCGGGGUGCUGUUCCAGCCUCACCACGCCCUGCCUUCCCGGCUUCCCCUGGGCCUGGUCUUCCUGAGGUCACCCCGCCUCCUCCUGUGUCCGGACAGUCCUGACCUGGACACACUGCCUGCUUCCCCAUCCCGGCUCCACCCCGAUGUUGGCAGGCCACUUGACCUCCUGUGCCUCAGUUUCCUCAUCUGUAAGAGCGGGUCCCAAGCUGUUAUCUGUGGUGUGUAGGGCACCAGCUCUGUGGCCACGGGGGACAAAAGGACCCCCACUCACCCAGGCUCAGGCUGGGCCGGAGACAGUUCAACGCCAGGAGGAGCAUCUGCAGCCCUAGGUGAGGCUGCCCCCAGGGUAGCCCCAUGACAGCUGCCAGCACCCGGGAGGCUCAGGGGCUGGUCUGGCUGCUUCGGGCUGCACCUCACCCCCAACAGCUUGGCCCUGGAGAAGCUGGUUAAUCAGGCUGCCCCAGGGGCUGGAAAGACCUGCAAAUGAAGAAGAACUUGGAUUCAGAGAAAGGGCUGCAGAGCCCUUGACAGCUGACAAGCCCGCCACUUAAACACUACUCCCGGGAUUUGGCGCUCACUAUGUGUGUAUUUUUCAAGACAUAACUCACAUACCUUCACAACCUUCACAGCUCAGUGGCUUAAAUAUAUAUAUGUCACCCAGGGAGGUCAGUUCACAGCUAACUGGAGCCUCAAACUCCCAGGUUCAGUUAAUCCUCCCACCUCAGCCUUCCCAGUAGCUGGAACCACAGGCACACAACACCAUGCUCCGGCUAAUUUUUAAAAUUUAUUUAAUUAAUUUUUUUUUAAGAUGGAGUCUCCUUUGUUGUCCAGGCUGGAGUGCAGUGGCGUGAUCUGGGCUCACUGCAACCUCCGCCUCCUGGGUUCAAGCGAUUCUCCUGCCUCAGCCUCCCAAGUAGCUGGGAUUACAGGCAUGUGCCCCACGGCCAGCUAAUUUUUGUAUUUUUAGUAGGGACGGGGUUUCACCAUGUUGGCUUGGCUGGUCUCAAAUUCCUGAUCUCAAGUGAUCCACCCGCCUUGGCCUCCCAAAGUGCUGGGAUUACAGGCAUGUGCCACCGUGCCUGGCACCCCCGCCAAUUUUUUUUUUGUUUUUUUUGAAACGGAGUUUUCACUCUUGUUGCCCAGGCUGGAGUACAAUGGCUCGAUCUUGGCUCACCGCAACCUCCACCUCCUGGGUUCAAGUGAUUCUCCUGCCUCAGCCUCCUGAGUAGCUGGGAUUACAGGCAUGUGCCACCACACCUGUCUAAUUUUGUAUUUUUAGUAGAGAUAGGGUUUCUCCACGUUGGUGAGGCUGGUCUCGAACUCCUGACCUCAGGUGAUCCACCCACCUCAGCCUCCCAAAGCGCUGGGAUUGCAGGUGUGAGCCACUGCGCCCGGCUGGCCAAUUUUUAAAAAUGUAUUUUUUAUAGAAACAGGAUCUUGCUAUGUUGCCCAGGCUGAUCUCUAACUCCUGGGAGGAUCAAGCAAAUCUCCUGCCUUGGCCUCCUAAAGUAUUGGGAUUACAGGCGUGAGCCACCGUGCCUGGCUAUUUUUUUUUUUUUUUGAGACAUGGAGUCUCACCCUGUCGCCCAGGCGGAGGUUGCAGUGAGCUGAGAUCGCACCACCGCACUACAGCGUGGAUGACAGAGUGAGACUCUGUCUCAAAAAAAAUAUAAUAAAAAUAUAUUUCUUGUAGAGACAGGGUCUCACUGUGUUGCCCAGCCUGGUCUUGAACUCCUGGCUCAAGGGAUCCUCCUGCCUCAGCCUCCCAAAGUGCCCAGAUUACAGGCAUGAGCCACAGCGCCCAACAGCUUUUAGUAUAUCAACAAGGUUGUGCAACCAUCACCAAUUCCAGAACCUUCUUACUUCCCCAAAACGAAACACUACACCCAUUAAACGGUAACUCUCCAUUCUCCCGUCCCCAGUGACGACUAAGCUACUUCUUGUUUCCAUGGUUUUGCCCGUAAUGGACAUUUCAUAGGAUGCAGUCACACAACAUGUGACCUUUUGUGUCUGGCUUUUGUUACUUUUUCAAGGUUCCUCCUCGACUGUGAUUGCUUCAUUCCUUUUCACAGUUGAGUAA